Molecule: ribosomal RNA, 253 nt
Filed under: uncultured prokaryote
Description: partial 16S ribosomal RNA
Rfam family: Bacterial small subunit ribosomal RNA
Source: RNAcentral
UACGGGGGAUGCAAGCGUUAUCCGGAAUGAUUGGGCGUAAAGCGUCUGCAGGUGGCCCCGUAAGUCCGCUGUCAAAGGCCCGGGCUUAACCCUGGACAGGCAGUGGAAACUACGGGGCUUGAGUCUGGUAGGGGCAGAGGGAAUUUCCGGUGGAGCGGUGAAAUGCGCAGAGAUCGGGAAGAACACCAACAGCGAAGGCACUCUGCUGGGCCAAGACUGACACUCAGAGACGAAAGCCAGGGGAGCGAAUGGG